UGCGUAGGCGGAUUAAUAAGUCAGUGGUGAAAUCUUUCGGCUCAACCGAGAAACUGCCAUUGAUACUGUUAAUCUUGGGUUCGGUUGAGGUAGGCGGAAUGUGUAAUGUAGCGGUGAAAUGCUUAGAUAUUACACAGAACACCAAUUGCGUAGGCAGCUUACUAGACCGACACUGACGCUGAGGCACGAAAGCGUGGGGAGCGAACAGGAUUAGAUACCCUGGUAGUCC
RNAcentral lists this ribosomal RNA (229 nucleotides) under uncultured bacterium. RNAcentral describes it as "partial 16S ribosomal RNA". It matches the Rfam family "Bacterial small subunit ribosomal RNA", at positions 568 to 796 of the family's 1533-position model. The record is from RNAcentral.